UACGAAGGGGGCUAGCGUUGCUCGGAAUCACUGGGCGUAAAGCGCACGUAGGCGGAUUGUUAAGUCAGGGGUGAAAUCCUGGAGCUCAACUCCAGAACUGCCUUUGAUACUGGCGAUCUCGAGUCCGGGAGAGGUGAGUGGAACUGCGAGUGUAGAGGUGAAAUUCGUAGAUAUUCGCAAGAACACCAGUGGCGAAGGCGGCUCACUGGUCCGAUACUGACGCUGAGGCACGAAAGCGUGGGGAGCAAACAGG
Molecule: ribosomal RNA, 253 nt
Filed under: uncultured bacterium
Lineage: Bacteria
Description: partial 16S ribosomal RNA
Rfam family: Bacterial small subunit ribosomal RNA
Source: RNAcentral